UGGCUCAGAGGUUAAAGUGUCUGCCUCCAAUGCAGGAGACCCAGGUUCGAUCCCUGG
Ovis aries (sheep) is the source of this 57-nucleotide non-coding RNA. NCBI's taxonomy places the organism in Eukaryota, Metazoa, Chordata, Mammalia, Artiodactyla, Bovidae. The record is from Rfam.